This is a non-coding RNA of Lutra lutra (Eurasian river otter), 462 nucleotides long. Lineage: Eukaryota; Metazoa; Chordata; Mammalia; Carnivora; Mustelidae. The record is from the annotation of a RefSeq genome assembly.
AUAAGAGAGGCUUUGCGCAGGCCUCUCACUUGUGGGUUCAGAAGAAGAGCCUGGGGCAUCUCCACCAUGGCCUGGAGCCUUUUCUUCAUCACCCUCCUGACUCUCUGCUCAGGGUCCUGGGCACAGUCUUCCCUCACACAAGAAGCCUCCUUGUCAGCGUCUUUGGGACAGAAUGUCACACUCAACUGCGCUGGAAAUGAGAACAAUGUUGGAGCAUAUUAUGUGGGCUGGUACAAACAGGUUUCUGGUGGUGCCCCCAAAACAGUUAUGCUUGGAACCACUAGGCCCUCAGGGAUCCCAGAUCGAUUCUCUGGCUCUCACCCUGGGAACAAAGCCUCUCUGAUCAUCUCGGACCUGUGGCCUGAAGACGAAGCUGUUUAUUACUGCUCAACCUGGGACAAAGUCAUCAACAAUUACACAGUGCUGCAGGCCCAUGCAGACCUGUGACAAAAAUCUGCCCCU